This 398-nucleotide ribosomal RNA is filed under the name uncultured bacterium. Its description in RNAcentral is "partial 16S ribosomal RNA". It matches the Rfam family "Bacterial small subunit ribosomal RNA", at positions 359 to 774 of the family's 1533-position model. The record is from RNAcentral.
GAAUCUUGCGCAAUGGGCGAAAGCCUGACGCAGCCAUGCCGCGUGAAUGAUGAAGGUCUUAGGAUUGUAAAAUUCUUUCACCGGGGACGAUAAUGACGGUACCCGGAGAAGAAGCACCGGCUAACUUCGUGCCAGCAGCCGCGGUAAUACGCAGGGUGAGAGCGUUGCUCGGAAUUACGGGGCGUAAAGGGGGCGUAGGCGGAUCGUUAAGUCAGGGGUGAAAUCCCAGGGCUCAACCCGGGAACUGCCUUUGAUACUGGCGAUCUUGAGUAUGAGAGAGGUAUGUGGAACUCCGAGUGUAGGGGUGAAGUUCGUAGAUAUUCGGAAGAACACCAGUGGCGAAGGCGACAUACUGGCUCAUUACUGACGCUGAGGCGCGAAAGCGUGGGGAGCAAACA